This 75-nucleotide transfer RNA is filed under the name Methanomicrobia archaeon. Its description in RNAcentral is "tRNA-Arg". It matches the Rfam family "tRNA". Rfam says of the family: Transfer RNA (tRNA) molecules are approximately 80 nucleotides in length. Their secondary structure includes four short double-helical elements and three loops (D, anti-codon, and T loops). The record is from RNAcentral. Lineage: Archaea; Methanobacteriati; Methanobacteriota; Methanomicrobia.
GCGCACAUAGCUCAGCAAGGAAAGAGCGGUUGCCUACGGAGCAACUGGUCGCGGGUUCAAAUCCCCCUGUGCGCU